AACGAACGCUGGCGGCACGCCUAACACAUGCAAGUCGAACGCAGUAGCAAUACUGAGUGGCAAACGGGUGAGUAUAAUGUGGGAAUCUGCCUUUUGGUUUGGAAUAACACGGGGAAACCUGUGCUAAUACCGAAUAAGCCCUUACGGGGAAAGUUUUAAUGCCGAAAGAUGAGCCCGCACUUGAUUAGCUAGUUGGUAAGGUAAAAGCUUACCAAGGCAACGAUCAAUAGCUGUUCUUAGAGGAAGACCAGCCACAUUGGGACUGAGACACGGCCCAGACUCCUACGGGAGGCAGCAGUGGGGAAUCUUGCACAAUGGGGGAAACCCUGAUGCAGCGAUGCCGCGUGAGUGAAGAAGGCCUUUGGGUUGUAAAACUCUUUCGUCGGGGAAGAAAAUGACUGUACCCGAAUAAGAAGGUCCGGCUAACUUCGUGCCAGCAGCCGCGGUAAUACGAAGGGACCUAGCGUAGUUCGGAAUUACUGGGCUUAAAGAGCUCGUAGGUGGUUAAAAAAGUUGAUGGUGAAAUCCCAAGGCUCAACCUUGGAACUGCCAUCAAAACUUUUUAGCUAGAGUGUGAUAGAGGUAAGUGGAAUUUCUAGUGUAGAGGUGAAAUUCGUAGAUAUUAGAAAGAACACCAAAUGCGAAGGCAACUUACUGGGUCACUACUGACACUGAGGAGCGAAAGCAUGGGUAGCGAAGAGGAUUAGAUACCCUCGUAGUCCAUGCCGUAAACGAUGUGUGCUAGACGUUGGAAAUAUAUUUUUCAGUGUCGCAGCGAAAGCAUUAAGCACACCGCCUGGGGGAGUACGACCGCAAGGUUAAAACUCAAAUGAAUUGACGGGGACCCGCACAAGCAGUGGAGCAUGUGGUUUAAUUCGAAGAUACGCGCAGAACCUUACCAACACUUGACAUGUUCGUCGCGAGACUAAGAGAUUAGUCUUUUCAGUUCGGCUGGACGAAACACAGGUGCUGCAUGGCUGUCGUCAGCU
RNAcentral lists this ribosomal RNA (989 nucleotides) under uncultured bacterium. RNAcentral's name for it is "bacterial SSU rRNA". It matches the Rfam family "Bacterial small subunit ribosomal RNA", at positions 28 to 1060 of the family's 1533-position model. The record is from RNAcentral.